Molecule: ribosomal RNA, 433 nt
Filed under: uncultured bacterium
Lineage: Bacteria
Description: partial 16S ribosomal RNA
Rfam family: Bacterial small subunit ribosomal RNA
Source: RNAcentral
AACGAACGCUGGCGGCAUGCCUAACACGUGCAAGUCGAACGAGACCUUCGGGUCUAGUGGCGCACGGGUGCGUAACGCGUGGGAACCUGCCUUUAGGUUCGGAAUAACUCAGAGAAAUUUGAGCUAAUACCGGAUGAUGUCUUCGGACCAAAGAUUUAUCGCCUUUAGAUGGGCCCGCGUUGGAUUAGCUAGUUGGUGGGGUAAAGGCCUACCAAGGCGACGAUCCAUAGCUGGUCUGAGAGGAUGAUCAGCCACACUGGGACUGAUACACGGCCCAGAAUCCUACGGGAUGGAGCAGUGGGGAAUAUUGGACAAUGGGCGAAAGGCUGAAGCAGCAAUGAUGCGAGAGUUAUGAAGGCAUUAGGGUUGAAAAGAUUUUUUAACAGAGCUGAUAAUGACAGUAUCGGGAGAAUAAGCUCCGGCUAACUCCGUG